CCCUUAGAUGUUCUGGGCCGCACGCGCGCUACACUGACGAAUGCAACGAGCUUAUAACCUUGGCCGAAAGGUCUGGGUAAUCUCCAAAUUUCGUCGUGAUGGGGAUAGAUUAUUGCAAUUAUUAAUCUUCAACGAGGAAUGCCUAGUAAGCGCAAGUCAUCAGCUUGCGUUGAUUACGUCCCUGCCCUUUGUACACACCGCCCGUCGCUCCUACCGAUUGAAUGGUCCGGUGAAGCGCUCGGACCGCGGCCUCUUGACGGGUCUCCGUCGAUUGGCUGUGGGAAGUUCGUUAAACCUUAUCAUUUAGAGGAAGGUGAAGUCGUAACA
RNAcentral lists this ribosomal RNA (327 nucleotides) under uncultured eukaryote. RNAcentral describes it as "partial 18S ribosomal RNA". It matches the Rfam family "Eukaryotic small subunit ribosomal RNA", at positions 1470 to 1796 of the family's 1831-position model. The record is from RNAcentral.